UGGGGAAUAUUGCACAAUGGAGGGAACUCUGAUGCAGCGACGCAGCGUGAACGAAGAAGGCUUUCGAGUCGUAAAGUUCUUUUAUAUGGGAAGAUAAUGACGGUACCAUAAGAAGAAGCCCCGGCUAACUACGUGCCAGCAGCCGCGGUAAUACGUAGGGGGCUAGCGUUGUCCGGAAUCACUGGGCGUAAAGGGUUCGCAGGCGGAAAUGCAAGUCAGGUGUAAAAGGCAGUAGCUUAACUACUGUAAGCAUUUGAAACUGCAUAUCUUGAGAAGAGUAGAGGUAAGUGGAAUUUUUAGUGUAGCGGUGAAAUGCGUAGAUAUUAAAAAGAAUACCGGUGGCGAAGGCGACUUACUGGGCUCAUUCUGACGCUGAGGAACGAAAGCGUGGGUAGCAAACAGG
RNAcentral lists this ribosomal RNA (403 nucleotides) under bacterium. Its description in RNAcentral is "partial 16S ribosomal RNA". It matches the Rfam family "Bacterial small subunit ribosomal RNA", at positions 355 to 776 of the family's 1533-position model. The record is from RNAcentral.